Molecule: ribosomal RNA, 254 nt
Filed under: uncultured bacterium
Lineage: Bacteria
Description: partial 16S ribosomal RNA
Rfam family: Bacterial small subunit ribosomal RNA
Source: RNAcentral
UACGUAGGGGGCGAGCGUUGUCCGGAUUUAUUGGGCGUAAAGAGCUCGUAGGCGGUUUGGCAAGUCGGGGGUGAAAACUCCGGGCUCAACUCGGAGACGCCACUCGAUACUGCCAUGACUCGAGUCCGGUAGGGGAGUGCGGAAUUCCUGGUGUAGCGGUGAAAUGCGCAGAUAUCAGGAGGAACACCGGUGGCGAAGGCGGCACUCUGGGCCGGUACUGACGCUGAGGAGCGAAAGCGUGGGGAGCGAACAGG